AACGUAGGUGGCGAGCGUUAUCCGGAUUUACUGGGCGUAAAGGGUGUGCAGGCGGGCUGUUAAGUGGUGCAUGAAAUCUCCGCGCUUAACGUGGAGAGGCUGUGCCAGACUGGCAGUCUAGAGUACGAGAGAGGGUUGUGGAAUUCCGGGUGUAGUGGUGAAAUGCGUAGAGAUCCGGAGGAACACCAGAGGCGAAGGCGGCAACCUGGCUCGUUACUGACGCUCAUACACGACAGCAUGGGGAGCGAACAGG
RNAcentral lists this ribosomal RNA (253 nucleotides) under uncultured bacterium. Its description in RNAcentral is "partial 16S ribosomal RNA". It matches the Rfam family "Bacterial small subunit ribosomal RNA", at positions 524 to 776 of the family's 1533-position model. The record is from RNAcentral.